UAGCUCGAGCGGAUGAGAGGAGCUUGCUCCUGGAUUCAGCGGCGGACGGGCUGAGUAAUGCCUACGAAUCUGCCUGGUAGUGGGGGACAACGUUUCGAAAGGAACGCUAAUACCGCAUACGUCCUACGGCGAGAAAGCAGGGGACCUUCGGGCCUUGCGCUAUCAGAUGAGCCUAGGUCGGAUUAGCUAGUUGGUGAGGUAAUGGCUCACCAAGGCGACGAUCCGUAACUGGUCUGAGAGGAUGAUCAGUCACACUGGAACUGAGACACGGUCCAGACUCCUACGGGAGGCAGCAGUGGGGAAUAUUGGACAAUGGGCGAAAGCCUGAUCCAGCCAUGCCGCGUGUGUGAAGAAGGUCUUCGGAUUGUAAAGCACUUUAAGUUGGGAGGAAGGGCAGUAAAUUAAUACUUUGCUGUUUUGACGUUACCGACAGAAUAAGCACCGGCUAACUCUGUGCCAGCAGCCGCGGUAAUACAGAGGGUGCAAGCGUUAAUCGGAAUUACUGGGCGUAAAGCGCGCGUAGGUGGUUUGUUAAGUUGGAUGUGAAAUCCCCGGGCUCAACCUGGGAACUGCAUCCAAAACUGGCAAGCUAGAGUAUGGUAGAGGGUGGUGGAAUUUCCUGUGUAGCGGUGAAAUGCGUAGAUAUAGGAAGGAACACCAGUGGCGAAGGCGACCACCUGGACUGAUACUGACACUGAGGUGYGAAAGCGUGGGGAGCAAACAGGAUUAGAUACCCUGGUAGUCCACRCCGUAAACGAUGUCAACUAGCCGUUGGGAGCCUUGAGCUCUUAGUGGCGCAGCUAACGCAUUAAGUUGACCGCYUGGGGAGUACGGCCKCAAGGUUAAAACUCAAAUGAAUUGACGGGGGCCCGCACAAGCGGUGGAGCAUGUGGUUUAAUUCGAAGCAACGCGAUAGAACCUUACCAGGCCUUGACAUCCAAUGAACUUUCCAGAGAUGGAUUGGUGCCUUGCGGGAACAUUGAGACAGGUGCUGCAUGUGCUGUCGUCAGCUCGUGUCGCUGAGAUGUUGGGUUAAGUCCCGUAACGAGCGCAACCCUUGUCAUUAGUUACCAGCACGUGACAUGGUGGGCACUCUAAGGAGACUGCCGGUGACAAACCGGAGGAAGGUGGGGAUGACGUCAAGUCAUCAU
Molecule: ribosomal RNA, 1151 nt
Filed under: Pseudomonas sp. R1SsM3P2C5
Lineage: Bacteria; Pseudomonadati; Pseudomonadota; Gammaproteobacteria; Pseudomonadales; Pseudomonadaceae
Description: bacterial SSU rRNA
Rfam family: Bacterial small subunit ribosomal RNA
Source: RNAcentral